RNAcentral lists this ribosomal RNA (253 nucleotides) under uncultured bacterium. RNAcentral describes it as "partial 16S ribosomal RNA". It matches the Rfam family "Bacterial small subunit ribosomal RNA", at positions 524 to 776 of the family's 1533-position model. The record is from RNAcentral.
UACGGAAGGGGCUAGCGUUGUUCGGAAUUACUGGGCGUAAAGAGCGCGUAGGCGGAUUGAUCAGUCAGAGGUGAAAGCCCGGGGCUCAACCCCGGAAUUGCCUUUGAUACUGUCAGUCUAGAGUCCGAGAGAGGUGAGUGGAAUUCCUAGUGUAGAGGUGAAAUUCGUAGAUAUUAGGAAGAACACCAGUGGCGAAGGCGGCUCACUGGCUCGGUACUGACGCUGAGGAGCGAAAGCGUGGGGAGCAAACAGG